RNAcentral lists this small RNA (138 nucleotides) under Acanthamoeba castellanii mamavirus. Its description in RNAcentral is "unknown". Lineage: Varidnaviria; Bamfordvirae; Nucleocytoviricota; Megaviricetes; Imitervirales; Mimiviridae. The record is from RNAcentral.
UUCCUUAUGUGUAGAUGAACAAAUAAGGGAUAUUAUUAGAAAUAAAUACAAAAGUUCUUUAGCCGUUGAUGAUAAACAUAUGAAGAUGCUUUGUAAUGAUUAUGGUAAUUAAUUAUUAUUGAGUGUUCGCCAACACUA